This 301-nucleotide ribosomal RNA is filed under the name uncultured bacterium. RNAcentral's name for it is "partial 16S ribosomal RNA". It matches the Rfam family "Bacterial small subunit ribosomal RNA", at positions 509 to 807 of the family's 1533-position model. The record is from RNAcentral.
CAGCAGCCGCGGGAAAACGGAGGGUGCAAGCGUUAAUCGGAAUUACUGGGCGUAAAGCGUGCGUAGGCGGUUCGUUAAGUCUGUUGUGAAAGCCCCGGGCUCAACCUGGGAAUGGCAAUGGAUACUGGCGAGCUAGAGUGUGUCAGAGGAUGGUGGAAUUCCCGGUGUAGCGGUGAAAUGCGUAGAGAUCGGGAGGAACAUCAGUGGCGAAGGCGGCCAUCUGGGACAACACUGACGCUGAGGCACGAAAGCGUGGGGAGUAAACAGGAUUAGAUACCCCCGUAGUCCCUGUCUCUUAUAC